UCGCAAUGGGCGAAAGCCUGACGGAGCAAUACCGCGUGAGGGAGGAAGGCUCUUGGGUUGUAAACCUCUUUUCUCAGGGAAUAAAAAAAUGAAGGUACCUGAGGAAUAAGCAUCGGCUAACUCCGUGCCAGCAGCCGCGGUAAUACGGAGGAUGCAAGCGUUAUCCGGAAUGAUUGGGCGUAAAGGGUCCGCAGGUGGCAUUGUAAGUCUGCUGUUAAAGAGUUUGGCUCAACCAAAUAAAAGCAGUGGAAACUACAAAGCUAGAGUAUGGUCGGGGCAGAGGGAAUUCCUGGUGUAGCGGUGAAAUGCGUAGAUAUCAGGAAGAACACCGGUGGCGAAGGCGCUCUG
Molecule: ribosomal RNA, 348 nt
Filed under: uncultured cyanobacterium
Lineage: Bacteria; Bacillati; Cyanobacteriota
Description: bacterial SSU rRNA
Rfam family: Bacterial small subunit ribosomal RNA
Source: RNAcentral